This 460-nucleotide ribosomal RNA is filed under the name uncultured bacterium. RNAcentral describes it as "partial 16S ribosomal RNA". It matches the Rfam family "Bacterial small subunit ribosomal RNA", at positions 338 to 795 of the family's 1533-position model. The record is from RNAcentral.
CCUACGGGUGGCAGCAGUGAGGAAUAUUGGUCAAUGGCCGUAAGGCUGAACCAGCCAAGUCGCGUGAAGGAAGAAGGUUCUAUGGUUUGUAAACCUCUUUUAUCGGGGAAUAAAGGUAUCCACGUGUGGAUAUUUGCAUGUACCCUAUGAAUAAGCAUCGGCUAACUCCGUGCCAGCAGCCGCGGUAAUACGGAGGAUGCGAGCGUUAUCCGGAUUUAUUGGGUUUAAAGGGUGCGUAGGUUGUUUUUUAAGUCAGCGGUUAAAGUUUGUGGCUCAACCAUAACAUUGCCGUUGAAACUGGCAGACUUGAGUGUGUUUGAGGUAGGCGGAAUGCGUGGUGUAGCGGUGAAAUGCAUAGAUAUCACGCAGAACUCCGAUUGCGAAGGCAGCUUACUAAUCCAUAACUGACACUGAGGCACGAAAGCGUGGGGAUCGAACAGGAUUAGAUACCCGGGUAGUC